GAGACACACCACCAUGCAAUGAUUCUUCUUCCACUCGCAGGCCUCCCACUCCGGUAACUCUUUUUCUGCUCUAGCAUAGCAUAGCUGGUAAGCAACCGAUCCUCUCUUUUGCUCUCUCUUGCUCUAUUAUCUUGCUCUGCGUGUGUCCAUGACCACACACCCCUUCUGCUAAGUUAUGUUCUGGCGAUGGUGAUUUCUGUCUAGUGCUUAUGAUGCUUUGGACUUGUAGUUUAGUGAUGCCAAGUGUUGCAUCGAUAAUAUUUGAUCAAAACCACCCAUUUAAGUUGAACAAUUGAAGAGAGCCUGCUGAAGUUUUUUGCAUGACUUGCACUUGAGCCAUGCAUAUUCAUAUUAUGUAUCUGUUUUCCUGUAUGUAUGGGUAUCUCAUUUUAACUAGUUGGAGGACAAAAAGCAUGGCACUAGCUUAAUUUGUGUUAUCAUUCUAAAUAAAUGUCAUUUUCUUGAAUGGUCUGUUCAAUAUAUUUGCCCCAAUUUUUCUUAUUUCUCUCUCAUUCAUGUAACAGGGUGACAGAGGAAGCCAUGUUGCAGUUUUGUUUGUUGCCAGCCCUGACUUCGGUCGUCCAGUGAGUUUGGCAUGUUGUUCAUCUGACUACGGUCGUCCAGCGAGUCUGUCAUGUUGUUCAUCUAACUAAGUCGUCCAGCGAGUCUGGCAUGUUGUCAUUUUCUUGUAAAGCAGUACCGUAUUACACUUGUAGAGCUCGUUAGUACACUUG
Molecule: long non-coding RNA, 734 nt
Filed under: Triticum aestivum (bread wheat)
Lineage: Eukaryota; Viridiplantae; Streptophyta; Magnoliopsida; Poales; Poaceae
Description: long non-coding RNA (TAES_LNC011370)
Source: RNAcentral